CCUACGGGGGGCAGCAGGCGCGAAAACUUUACAAUGCGGGAAACCGUGAUAAGGGAACUCCGAGUGCCCGUAAAAUCGGGCUGUCCAUUUGUUUAAAAAACAAGUGAAGAAAGGGCCGGGCAAGACCGGUGCCAGCCGCCGCGGUAAUACCGGCGGCUCGAGUGGUGGCCACUAUUACUGGGCUUAAAGCGUUCGUAGCUGGUUUGUUAAGUCUCUGGGGAAAUCUUCCGGCUUAACCGGAAGGCGUUUCAGGGAUACUGGCAGACUAGGGACCGGGAGAGGUGAGGGGUACUUCAGGGGUAGGAGUGAAAUCCUGUAAUCCUUGAGGGACCACCUGUGGCGAAGGCGCCUCACCAGAACGGCUCCGACAGUGAGGGACGAAAGCUGGGGGAGCAAACCGGAUUAGAUACCCACGUAGUCC
RNAcentral lists this ribosomal RNA (421 nucleotides) under uncultured Methanoregula sp. Its description in RNAcentral is "bacterial SSU rRNA". It matches the Rfam family "Archaeal small subunit ribosomal RNA", at positions 322 to 747 of the family's 1478-position model. Lineage: Archaea; Methanobacteriati; Methanobacteriota; Methanomicrobia; Methanomicrobiales; Methanoregulaceae. The record is from RNAcentral.